CUGAUCCAACCGAACCCACGAGCACCCAUACAAUCUAAAAGCCCUCAACCCCACCUCACGGCUGUGCCACCGUCGUUUGCGCAGAUCGACCGCGGGAGCCACCUAGCCGUGCGUGCGGACGACAAACGGCGAUGCAUCCGGUGGCUGCGCGUGGCGCCCCGCACUGGCUGCGCGGCCUGCUAUCGGAGGAGUUCUUCGACGCAUGCGCCGCGCACCCGGGGGAGCGCAAGAACGACAAGAACCACUUCUGCGUCGACUGCGCCGCGCCGCUGUGCCGCCACUGCCUCCCGCACGAACACGUCCACGACGUCCUCCAGAUCUGGAAGUACGCGUCCUGCUUCGUCGUGCGCAUCGACGACCUGAAGCUGUUCGACUGCACCGGCAUCCAGUCGCACACGGUGAGCGACCAUGAGGUGGUGUUCCUGAACGAGCGUACGGCGAGGAAGCGGUCCACGAGCGCCGAGAACCCCUGCGCCGCGUGCGCGCGACCGCUCCUCCCCGGCCACGACUACUGUUCACUCUUCUGCAAGGUAAAACGCAUCGGGUACGGUCAACAGGAUCGUAUGCUGUUGAUCCUGACCAGUGUGAAGCAUCUGGGGGAGAGCGAGCACGAGCUAAGGCGCGCGCUACGCGUGAGCCGGCAGGAGGUGGCUCCCACGCCGGAGCCACAGACCGGGAGGAAGAGAUCGUCGUCGUCGUCAGACGCGGGGCCGAGCUGCAGCGGAUCGUUCCGGAAGCGAAGCCGGAAGCAGGCCGAGCCGGCACAGGCACCAUUCCAUUGA
Long non-coding RNA from Zea mays, 782 nucleotides. RefSeq annotates it as PLATZ transcription factor family protein. The transcript is spliced from 4 exons. Lineage: Eukaryota; Viridiplantae; Streptophyta; Magnoliopsida; Poales; Poaceae. The record is from RefSeq and is a predicted model, not a curated record.